RNAcentral lists this ribosomal RNA (441 nucleotides) under uncultured Parabacteroides sp. RNAcentral's name for it is "bacterial SSU rRNA". It matches the Rfam family "Bacterial small subunit ribosomal RNA", at positions 355 to 794 of the family's 1533-position model. The record is from RNAcentral. Lineage: Bacteria; Pseudomonadati; Bacteroidota; Bacteroidia; Bacteroidales; Tannerellaceae.
UGAGGAAUAUUGGUCAAUGGACGAAAGUCUGAACCAGCCAUGCCGCGUGAAGGAAUAAGGCCCUAUGGGUCGUAAACUUCUUUUGUAUGUGAGCAAUAAGGUCCACGUGUGGACCGAUGAGAGUAGCAUACGAAUAAGCAUCGGCUAACUCCGUGCCAGCAGCCGCGGUAAUACGGAGGAUGCAAGCGUUAUCCGGAUUUAUUGGGUUUAAAGGGUGCGUAGGCGGACGGUUAAGUCAGCGGUAAAAUCGAGAGGCUCAACCUCUUCCGGCCGUUGAAACUGGCCAUCUUGAGUGAGCGAGAAGUAUGCGGAAUGCGUGGUGUAGCGGUGAAAUGCAUAGAUAUCACGCAGAACUCCGAUUGCGAAGGCAGCAUACCGGCGCUCAACUGACGCUGAAGCACGAAAGCGUGGGGAUCAAACAGGAUUAGAUACCCUGGUAGU